This 301-nucleotide ribosomal RNA is filed under the name uncultured bacterium. RNAcentral's name for it is "partial 16S ribosomal RNA". It matches the Rfam family "Bacterial small subunit ribosomal RNA", at positions 509 to 807 of the family's 1533-position model. The record is from RNAcentral.
CAGUAGCCGCGGGAAUACGAAGGGGGCUAGCGUUGUUCGGAACUACUGGGCGUAAAGCGCACGUAGGCGGAUUUUUAAGUCAGGGGUGAAAUCCCGAGGCUCAACCUCGGAACUGCCUUUGAUACUGGAGAUCUUGAGUUCGGAAGAGGUUGGUGGAACAGCUAGUGUAGAGGUGAAAUUCGUAGAUGUUAGCUAGAACACCAGUGGCGAAGGCGGCCAACUGGUCCGAUACUGACGCUGAGGUGCGAAAGCGUGGGGAGCAAACAGGAUUAGAUACCCCAGUAGUCCCUGUCUCUUAUAC